AUUGAACGCUGGCGGCAGGCCUAACACAUGCAAGUCGAACGAGUGGCGGACGGGUGAGUAAUGUCUGGGAAACUGCCUGAUGGAGGGGGAUAACUACUGGAAACGGUAGCUAAUACCGCAUACCAUCGGAUGAGCCCAGAUGGGAUUAGCUAGUAGGUGGGGUAAAGGCUCACCUAGGCGACGAUCCCUAGCUGGUCUGAGAGGAUGACCAGCCACACUGUAACUGAGACACGGUCCAGACUCCUACGGGAGGCAGCAGUGGGGAAUAUUGCACAAUGGGCGCAAGCCUGAUGCAGCCAUGCCGCGUGUAUGAAGAAGGCCUUCGGGUUGUAAAGUACUUGCAGCGGUGAGGCGUUACCCGCAGAAGAAGCACCGGCGAACUACGUGCCAGCAGCCGCGGUAAUAC
RNAcentral lists this ribosomal RNA (406 nucleotides) under uncultured bacterium. RNAcentral describes it as "partial 16S ribosomal RNA". It matches the Rfam family "Bacterial small subunit ribosomal RNA", at positions 30 to 526 of the family's 1533-position model. The record is from RNAcentral.